CGGAGCAAGAAUUUCAAGUUAAGGAAAUUAAACGAACGAGGCCAAGUGAAUUAUGAAUGAUGAUAUAUAAGUCGAAUUCGGGUCCCAGUGAGGGUGGUGUCCCCGCUCGGACUAGUGUACACGGGAUACCUCUGACCGUGAACGGACGGCAGAGAAGGUGACCGUGGAAGGUGGCCACCUUCCAGGCACAAGGAUACCUCUGACCUGUUGGGCAGAGAAGGUGACCGUAUGAGAACACCAUCUCAGCGGCACAAGGAUACCUCUGACCUAUUGGGCAGGGAAGGUGACCGUAUGAGAAUACCAUCUCAGCGGCACAAGAUGAUCAGAUAUGGCUAAGUACUAAAAAAAGGGGCUGCAGCCCAAUGUGAAUAUUUUUAGUAAGCUCAGGUCUUUUCAAUAAAACCCCUGAGUGUCACUGUGA
This is a non-coding RNA of Salvia hispanica, 421 nucleotides long. Lineage: Eukaryota; Viridiplantae; Streptophyta; Magnoliopsida; Lamiales; Lamiaceae. The record is from RefSeq and is a predicted model, not a curated record.